This 497-nucleotide ribosomal RNA is filed under the name uncultured bacterium. RNAcentral describes it as "partial 16S ribosomal RNA". It matches the Rfam family "Bacterial small subunit ribosomal RNA", at positions 28 to 507 of the family's 1533-position model. The record is from RNAcentral.
GAUGAACGCUGGCGGCGUGCCUAAUACAUGCAAGUCGAGCGAACAGAUGAGGAGCUUGCUCCUCUGACGUUAGCGGCGGACGGGUGAGUAACACGUGGAUAACCUACCUAUAAGACUGGGAUCACUUCGGGAAACCGGUGCUAAUACCGGAUAAUAUAUUGAACCGCAUGGUUCAAUAGUGAAAGACGGUUUUGCUGUCACUUAUAGAUGGAUCCGCGCCGCAUUAGCUAGUUGGUAAGGUAACGGCUUACCAAGGCAACGAUGCGUAGCCGACCUGAGAGGGUGAUCGGCCACACUGGAACUGAGACACGGUCCAGACUCCUACGGGAGGCAGCAGUAGGGAAUCUUCCGCAAUGGGCGAAAGCCUGACGGAGCAACGCCGCGUGAGUGAUGAAGGUCUUCGGAUCGUAAAACUCUGUUAUUAGGGAAGAACAAAUGUGUAAGUAACUAUGCACGUCUUGACGGUACCUAAUCAGAAAGCCACGGCUAACUACGUG